Molecule: microRNA precursor, 83 nt
Organism: Chlorocebus sabaeus (green monkey)
Lineage: Eukaryota; Metazoa; Chordata; Mammalia; Primates; Cercopithecidae
Source: Ensembl
GUGAGUGGGAGGCCAGGGCACGGCAGGAGGAGCUGCACAGUGGUCGGAGGGAACCCAGUAUCUGAGCCCUGUCCUUCCACAGG